Non-coding RNA from Ictidomys tridecemlineatus (thirteen-lined ground squirrel), 543 nucleotides. The record is from RefSeq and is a predicted model, not a curated record. NCBI's taxonomy places the organism in Eukaryota, Metazoa, Chordata, Mammalia, Rodentia, Sciuridae.
GCUGUAAGAAAUGAAUUUUUUCUGAUUCAUAGAGAUUUCUUCAUUUGGGAUCCAGAUUUGAUAAGACUACAUGGCCUUUGGCUUUGCGCUCAGCUCCAAGGAAGUGACACUGUCAGAAAGGUGCAGAGAGAAAGAAGCAAAAGAGAAGAUCCAUUACUAUCUCAAGAAUGAAUGGCUCAAGCAUCAUCAAAGAGGAGCACAGACACCUUGGUGUAACUCUGUGUGGGCUUGGGAGACUCACAGACCCAGGAAACCACCCAUGGAGGAUGUGCUCAGGCUGCCAUUGAGAUGAUGAAAGCUCGGCCUUCUGGGUCGAGGAAGCUUUAUGACCCAGCACACCACUUUGGAUUCACUUGCUCCAAUAUUUCCAAGUGGUUACUCCAAUUGGGAAACCCAAGUAACUAUCUUCUUGUUAUUCAUACCCCAGAGACAAACAGCACCUUGUCAUUAAGAGCCAGAUAGGAAAUAAACAUGCCACCAACAUGUAUGGCAUUAGAACUGAAGGGAAAUGAGGGCUUCUUCAGCUUCAGAACCUAAGGAUUA